UGCUUAUAAAUCCAUAAGCUAAACAAAUUAUACAAUUAGAACUCCAACUAUUUAUGACAAGUUCAUAUCAUCAUAAACUAAACAUUUUAAAAUUUGAAACGUGAGAGGUUUUUAAAACUUUUAAACAAUAUAUCAAUUCAGAUUCAUCGACAACAUUUCAUUAUAUAUAAAAUGUACUUAUACAACAACCACAUAAUAACCAAUAAGACUUGUCUACAAUUCUGAAUAGCUUUCCACUACCUUAGCCAAAUUCAAACAUCUCAGUAAGUGACAAGCAAACUUGAAAGAUUAAUAUAACAAUGGAGUGAGGUAUAAAGCUCAGCAAGUGACAAACAUAUCUAUGGUAAAAAGGGACAGUUUCAAACAAACAAGGUAUCAAAAUGCAAGGUAGAUACAAGAUUUCAUAGAUAUCAUCUCAUUAGAUACAGAAUCACAAAUGUCAUUUCAAUCAAAACAUAUUUGGUUCAUAACAAAUGGAGUAAAUAGUAAUUGGAACAUAUCAAUAACGUAAGAAGUAUUUCGGGGCAUAUUAAUGGCGUAUGAAAUGUUUCAGAGUAUAUUAAUAGCAUAUGAAAUAUUUUAGAGCAUAUCAAUAGCAUAUGAAAUAUUUUGGAGUAUAUCAAUGGCAUAUAAAAUAUUUCAAAGCAUAUCAACGGCGUAUGAAAUGUUUCGGAGCAUAUCAAUAACAAAUGAAAUAUUUCAGAGCAUAUUAAUGACGUAUGAAAUGUUUUGAAGUAUAUCAAUGGCAUAUGAAACAUUUCGGAGUAUAUCAAUAGCGUAUGAAAUGUUUCUGAGCAUAUCAAUAACAAUUGAAAUAUUUCAAAACUAAUCAAUGCAUCUAAAAUGUUUCAAAG
This 854-nucleotide long non-coding RNA is filed under the name Musa acuminata (dwarf banana). RNAcentral describes it as "long non-coding RNA (MACU_LNC004061)". Lineage: Eukaryota; Viridiplantae; Streptophyta; Magnoliopsida; Zingiberales; Musaceae. The record is from RNAcentral.